RNAcentral lists this transfer RNA (89 nucleotides) under Larimichthys crocea (large yellow croaker). It matches the Rfam family "tRNA". From Rfam's summary of the family: Transfer RNA (tRNA) molecules are approximately 80 nucleotides in length. Their secondary structure includes four short double-helical elements and three loops (D, anti-codon, and T loops). Lineage: Eukaryota; Metazoa; Chordata; Actinopteri; Sciaenidae. The record is from Rfam by way of RNAcentral.
CCUUCGAUAGCUCAGUUGGUAGAGCGGAGGACUGUAGAGUUCAAACAUGAGACAUCCUUAGGUCGCUGGUUCAAAUCCGGCUCGAAGGA